CUGUGCUAGACGGGGAACUAGCGGUGCCCUGUAACCUGCAAUCCGCUACAGCAGGGUCGAAUUCCCUUUGUGAGGUCCUUUUCCAUGCCGGGAAUUUAUUGGCGAUCAAUGAUGAAAGCCCGAGCUCUACGCAAUGAGAGGCUUCUGAACCCCGUCAGGCCCGGAAGGGAGCAGCGGUAGGAAGACCCAUCAUGUGCCGUAGAUGGCUUGGCUGGAGUUGACCGCUGAUGAGUUCAUCGGAGAAUGGAGGGAUCGAGCAGGGGUGCACAG
RNAcentral lists this signal recognition particle RNA (270 nucleotides) under bacterium. Its description in RNAcentral is "signal recognition particle sRNA large type". It matches the Rfam family "Bacterial large signal recognition particle RNA". Rfam says of the family: The signal recognition particle (SRP) is a universally conserved ribonucleoprotein involved in the co-translational targeting of proteins to membranes. Archaeal SRP consists of a 7S RNA and homologues of the eukaryotic SRP19 and SRP54 proteins. In most bacteria, the SRP consists of a 4.5S RNA and the Ffh protein (a homologue of the eukaryotic SRP54 protein). The record is from RNAcentral.